This 72-nucleotide non-coding RNA is filed under the name Cognatiyoonia sediminum. RNAcentral describes it as "Loktanella sediminum Singlet oxygen resistance RNA X". It matches the Rfam family "Singlet oxygen resistance RNA X". From Rfam's summary of the family: SorX (RSs2461)like SorY is a singlet oxygen induced sRNA that counteracts oxidative stress by targeting mRNA for a transporter in Rhodobacter. It also has an impact on resistance against organic hydroperoxides. It targets SD sequence of potA mRNA via an aSD sequence. Lineage: Bacteria; Pseudomonadati; Pseudomonadota; Alphaproteobacteria; Rhodobacterales; Paracoccaceae. The record is from Rfam by way of RNAcentral.
ACCCCUCUGGUGGCGGGGUCCCGAGCCACCACCUCCCUGUUGGACUUGCCCGGACACUGUCCGGGCAUUUUU